Molecule: non-coding RNA, 5631 nt
Organism: Nerophis lumbriciformis (worm pipefish)
Lineage: Eukaryota; Metazoa; Chordata; Actinopteri; Syngnathiformes; Syngnathidae
Source: RefSeq, a predicted model, not a curated record
GAUCAGAUGAUCAUCUGAUUUUCCUAUUAGUCUGUAUCUUCAUUGUGGUCAUCAUCGUGUGUUGUGUUUUAUACAUAACACGUGAAUAUCUAAAAGUGUGCAAAGAACGUGAUGAAAACACAUCCUUAGACCAAGUACUCACUCUUCCCUCCAAUCAGAACAAAAAAAAUGAAAAGUGGAACUCAGGAUUGAACGUGUUGACUGAGGAUGAGAAGAUGGAUACAGAAGGAGCCAUGCUACUCACUGCUUCUGUUCAUGCACUUCAUUCCUCUUCAACAGACAUAAACACUAUCACUGAACUUUCAGAAACCAGCAAUGAUCAGCAAGUUCAUCUGAAAAAUUCAGAGGAAAAUGUGACAAAAGAUGACUUUCUGAAUCCAGCGACACUGAGUGAUUGGGGAGGCAAAAAACAUGAGGGACAAAGCAACACUUGGACAGGAACCAGUUCUACAUAUCCAUCCAACCAUCCAUCCAUCCAUUUUCUACCGUUUGUUCCUCUAAAAGUCGCAGGAGGUGCUGGAACCUAUUUCAGCUGCAUUUGGGCGGAAGGCGGCGUACACCCUGGACAAGUCGCCACCUCAUCGCAGGGCCAACACAGAGAGACAACUUUCACAAACUAGGGCCAAUUUAGUGUUGCCAGUUAAUGAAUUUUGUAGUGAUUUGUAAAUAGUAGAAACCCAACAUAUCCUGUGAGAUGAGCGACAAUUUAAGAGAUGAGUCCCAAUUCAAACGGUGUUAUUAUACCUCGUUGUUCUGCUCUUAUUGUCACGGUUUGCGGUGCAGCUUGCUGCGGUUCGUUCUCCCGGGACGCAAAACUGACGACUCCGGACGAAAGCGUGCAGGUAGGAGAUGAUUUAUUAAUCAUAAAUCGUAAAUGGAUACAAACAGACAAAAACAAAACAAAAGGGAUGCGUGCCGAUCGCACGGGAAGCUAAGGUAACUUACUUAGCACAGGAACACUAGAAGCUAAGGAAUCGCUUAGCACAGGAAUCAUGAACUCGAAAUCUCACGUGACAGUAGCGGGAAGCAAAUAAUGAAGCCACGACGAGUGACCGGAAAAGGCAGGCUUAAAUAGUAGACUCUGAUGAGCAACAGGUGCGCGUAAAAGGCAGGUGAAAAUCAUAAGUAACCAUGGUGACUAAACUCAGGAAGUGCAUAAACAGGAACUAAAAGGAGUCCAAAACAAACCAAUAACACAAAACAUGAUCCGACCACGGAUCAUGACACUUAUAGUGAAAGUCUACUGCUGAUGUGUCUCACUAACUGGUUUCACUUUUGACAAAUCACAGCCUCAUAGACACCUGUAAAUAUCAGUUCGGUAGCAGUUCAUUAAAAAAACAUCAAAUUGUAAUCAAAUAGAUUUGUAAAAGCUGAUCAUCAAGAAUGACUCUACAUGUCUUAGUUUUUUUCAUGACUUCCCUAUUUUAGGUAAGUUAAUUAAAUGUAAAUGUGCUAUACUUGUAUAGCGUUUUUCUACCUUUUUUAAGGAACUCAAAGCGCUUUGACACUAUUUCCACAUUCACCCAUUCACACACACAUUCACACACUGAUGGCGGGAGCUCCCAUGCAAAGCGCUCACCAGGACCCAUCAGGAGCAAGGGUGAGGUGUCUUGCUCAAGGACACAAUGGACGUGACUAGGAUGGUAGAAGGUGGGGAUUGAACCAGCAACCCUCAGAUUGCUGGCACGGCCACUCCCAACUUUGCCACGCCGUCCCAGUUAUGUCAUCAUGUUUUAUAAAUACUCUUGUUUUUGUGCUGAUAAAAAUAUAUUUUCGUUAGAAUUCCAUGUUGAUAUGUUUUGUAAGUUGUACAGUUUAUUAAUAUUGGUAUUUCUGUAAGGUGUUGUAGUCAAUGAUGCAUGUAUUAAUUGACCUUGUUCGUACAAGUUUCUUUAAAAGAAAAAUAGUUAAUAUCUCACCAGGCAGUAGUGGUUCUAUACCAUAUUUACGGAAUUACAGGGAAAAAUACACUGUAAACUGUUUUGAAUGUUUUUAUUCCGAUUUAGUUUGUUAAAAAUAAAAAUGUUUCAUUAUGGUAAGACAAGCAGGAAGUAUACAUCUCCAACAUCUAAAACUUGUUGUACCGGUUGACCGUACCAAUGUUUUGUUUAUCAAGGACUGUCAAAGUAUGCGCGUUAUUGCAAAUUAAUCGUUUGUCAUUAAUAAUAUGAUUUUAAAAACUGUACACACUGAACUCAUCUGCAGCGCAGAAAGACUCAAAAUCCCUGAGAUGUGUCUGGCAACAAAUUUUGGGCAGUUAGUCCAAGUAGGGGAAUGUGGUGGUAGUGGAAGAGUGGAAUGCCUCUCAUAAAUGGGCAAGGCAAGUUUAUUUAUAGAGCACAAUUCGUACACAACGCAAUUCUUACAAGAAAGCAAAAAUAAAACCAAAAUAAUCUUAAAAGUAAUCAUAAUUCAAAUUAAAACCAUAGAAAAAAAUCAUCAUAAAAACAAUCAUUUAAAAUAAAAUAGUACAGAUAAAAUACUUUAAGUUGUCUUAUGAACAGUUAAAUAAAAAUGUUUUUAGCCUGGAUUUGGACAUUUCUUAAGGCUUGUCUCACAUCUUUUGGAGGACUAUUCAAUCAAUCAAUCGCCGUUUAUUUAUAUAGCCCUAAAUCACGAGUGUCUCAAAGGGCUGCACAAGCCACAACGACAUCUUCGGCUCAGAUCCCACAUCAGGGCAAGGAAAAACUCAACCCAGUGGGACAAUGAGAAACCUUGGAGGGGACUGCAGAUGUGGGGACUACCCCCGCCCCCGGGCAACCGGUGCAGUGGACGUCGAGUGGAUCUAGCAUAAUAUUGUGAGAGUCCAGUCCAUAGUGGAUCUAACAUAAUAGAGAGAGUCCAGUCCAUAGUGGAUCUAACAUAAUAGAGAGAGUCCUGUCCAUAGUGGAUCUAACAUAAUAGAGAGAGUCCAGUCCAUAGUGGAUCUAACAUAAUAGAGAGAGUCCGGUCCAUAGUGGAUCUAACAUAGUAGAGAGAGUCCAGUCCAUAGUGGAUCUAACAUAAUAGAGAGAGUCCAGUCCAUAGUGGGGCCAGCAGGAGACCAUCCCGAGCGAAGACAGGUCAGCAGCGCAGAGACAUCCCCAACCGAUGCACAGACGAGCGGUCCACCCCGGGUCCCGACUUUGGACAGCCAGCGCUUCAUCCGUGGCCACCGAAGCUGUGCCCCCCCUCCACGAAGGAAGGGGGGGGCAGAGAAGACAAAAGACUGGUCUAAAAGGGGGUAUAUUUAAAGGCUAGAGUAUACAAAUGAGUUUUAAGAUGGGACUUAAAUGCUUCUACUGGUUUUAAGAGCACAAAACUGAAACACAGCCUAGCAAUACUUUGUCCUGACUCUGGAAACCAGCAGGAGACCACUCCCUGAGGUUCUCAGAGCCCGAGAUGGUUCAUAUGGUUCUAACAUGUCAGAGAUGUACUUUGGUACCAGACCAUGAAAAGACUUGUACUUAUCAUAAUCUUAUUCAUUUUAUAGAGGAUGAAUAGAGACAUCAAUGACUGCCGUUCUACAAACACUGUGUGGAAAAUUAUUGGGUGCGGUUUAUACGCCGCUGCGACUUAUAGUCCGGAAACAAUGUAUAUUUUAUAUAGCCUGAAGCAACUCCAGUACUAAAUAUACAGUAGACUGCUUCUUCUAAUCCUUCUUUGACCUCCACAGACAUGGACACUCUACUUGAGAAAGUAUCAGCAAGUUUAUGGAGGAUAAAAUUUGAAUGUGGAGAGGGGCGUGGCCAGUGGGCCUUCAGCAGAAUGGGCCUCGAAGACAGCAACAGGUGCGUAGAUGGCCCAAGUGGGCCUAGUCAUCUAAUCACCUGUCGCCCUUUAUUAGCAGCAGCCGGAAGGAGAGAAGGUGUGGGAGCUGGAGUGGGAGCGAAAGCGAGACCGAGACCGAGACCGAGACCGUGACCGAGACCGAGACCGACAUGAACUAAGGACAAUCGUUUAAAUUUUGCAAUUAUUAAAGCAUUGUGAAAAAAUAUUGUGGAAAAAAGUUAGUUUAAAAAAAAAAAUACAUGUGUAUGUCAUUGUACAACAAUUAUUCACUAUAGGAGUAUUUUGACCAAAGGUUGACAUUUUACAAAAACAUUUUACAGAAAUGAAAACACUAUCAAAUAAAAACAUCAAUCUAAAAAGUCAAUGGCAGUUUUGCAAAAGGGCGCUUGGAUAUUGACUACAUAAAAAAUAGUAUUUCUACUCAGAUCAGACAUAUUUACAGCUACUAUUACCUACAGUUCUACAGCAACACAACAACUCUCUGUAGAUGUAUGAAACAUCCCUCUAGUCAGGCAAUCCCCUCCCACUCAUCUGAGCAUUAGAGUGGUCCACCACAUUUUGAUGUCAUGGGUGCAUUUACAAAAGAAAGAGGGCUAAUUGUCGAUGUUGAGUGGUACUUUUUAAACUAAUAAUAACCUUUUGGCUGCCUUCUGGGAAUUGCAGGGGGGUUACAAAACCCUGUGAGUUGUCGGUGCUAGAUAACUCCAGGGUGAAUCAAUAGGUAUUUUACCUGUACUUUUACUUAAUUGACAUUGUUUUUAACAUUUUAAUAACGUUCUGUUUUGUUCCUGCUAACAUGACAGUGCACAGCUGUGUAAGCAAACCAAACAGGGAGGAGGUAGACGAUGGGAACGCAGCAAUGCUGCUUAGUACUGGUAUUACAGUUACGUAGUAUUCCAGUCCUGGAGCAAAGAAAAGUUCACUUUUAUUGAUUUCCGGCCAUAUGAAGAUGAAGUUUGUCAAUAUCUGUGUUGUGUGACAAAUGUUUUUCACUUUUCCUUUAGCCAGGUUAUUGUCACUUUGCCACUGUUGUGUUAAAACAGUCAUUGUAUAUAUAAGCUAUAGUAUAUAUUUUAGUCUUUAUUUGAUAUUAUUAUAAUAUUAUUUAACUUCCUUUAUUUUCAUGUGUGUCCAGUCAGUGUCCUCCCCCUCGUUUUGUACAUCAUGCCGCAACUUUGCAAGUAUGUAUGUAUGUGUGUAUGUAUGUAUGUGUAUGUAUGUAUGUAGUGUCGAUGUAGCGUGUAAUGCAGCUUGCUAUAAUUCUGUGGGGAUAGCUUCGCCUGUAGCUUAGCUACAUUAAAUGGAGAGUAACUAGUAGCUUAUCUUACGACAAUAAAAAUAUUUUAUCAAAUAAUUUGUCUGUUUAGACAAAAUUGUAAGAAUUUGACAAUGAUAAUUUUGAAUAGUUGAAAAGUUUACAUUGACUGUUACUCUGUAGUGAAUUACAAUUGGCUUACACGGCUUUUAAACGUGAGUGUGUAUUUCUGUUUUCAUUUAUUUUAUAAAGCAGAAAUUGCUUUGUUGGUCACGCCAAAUAAAUCUGACAAAAUAAUUGCUGUCUGACUUUAAUCGCCAAAUUGUGAUUAGCUAAUAGCAUGUGUGAUUUCACUGCACUGAGCAAAGUUUGGAGGUCUUUUUUUUGCACAUUCCCACAUCCUAAAACACAUAAAUACCAUUUCCGUCAAAAACUAAAUUAAGAAAAAUUGCGAUUUGAUGUUUUUGUUUUAUUUAUUUUAUUUUAUUUUGUUAUCCCUUGCACGUGUUCAUGCUCCUUUUGUUUAUUAUUUCGUUAUAGUCGAGUUAUUUCAAUGUCUUAAUUACUGGUUCAACAUUAUUGAGGACAAAUAUACUCUUUAUACA